Molecule: transfer RNA, 35 nt
Filed under: Elymus sibiricus
Lineage: Eukaryota; Viridiplantae; Streptophyta; Magnoliopsida; Poales; Poaceae
Description: partial tRNA-Phe
Source: RNAcentral
AGUCAGAUAGCUCAGUUGGUAGAGCAGAGACUGAA